CCCCUCAUUUACUUUCGUUUUCAGACAACUGGUUGCCCACUGAAGCUAAGCAGGGUUGAGCCUGGUCAGUACCUGGAUGGGAGACCUCCUGGGAAAACUAGGUUGCUGUUGGAA
RNAcentral lists this ribosomal RNA (114 nucleotides) under Sinocyclocheilus rhinocerous. The record is from RNAcentral. Lineage: Eukaryota; Metazoa; Chordata; Actinopteri; Cypriniformes; Cyprinidae.